RNAcentral lists this ribosomal RNA (253 nucleotides) under uncultured bacterium. RNAcentral describes it as "partial 16S ribosomal RNA". It matches the Rfam family "Bacterial small subunit ribosomal RNA", at positions 524 to 776 of the family's 1533-position model. The record is from RNAcentral.
UACGUAGGGUGCAAGCGUUGUCCGGAAUUAUUGGGCGUAAAGAGCGUGUAGGCGGCCCGAUUAGUCCGCUGUGAAAGUCCAGGGCUCAACCCUGGAAUGCCGGUGGAUACUGUCGGGCUAGAGUCCGGAAGGGGCGAGUGGAAUUCCUGGUGUAGCGGUGAAAUGCGCAGAUAUCAGGAGGAACACCAAUGGCGAAGGCAGCUCGCUGGGACGUGACUGACGCUGAGAUGCGAAAGCGUGGGGAGCAAACAGG